RNAcentral lists this long non-coding RNA (1862 nucleotides) under Olea europaea subsp. europaea. Lineage: Eukaryota; Viridiplantae; Streptophyta; Magnoliopsida; Lamiales; Oleaceae. The record is from RNAcentral.
NNAAAUUAAAUGAAGUAUUCCAGAUACAAAGUAUGGAAAGGUGUCUAUAACUUUCCCCCAGGACCUACCUCCCAACCUAGAGUAGCUAGAUGGGGAGUCAAAUUAAUCCUUGUUCAUACUUAGGCUUCUCUGGUAAGAAAUGAGCCACUUCAAAUAGGUUCAUUGCUCCGACCCGAAAUACGAUUAACCCAGCGUGGGCUACAUGAGCUCUUAGUAGUUUAUCGGAUAAAUUAAUAAGUUGACCAUUCUUGGCCAACCAAGCAAAAUCGAUGGUUUCUUGGUCACGACCAGUUACAACUAAAGUUCCAUUAAAGAGCGUUUCCACACGGUAGAACCUCCUCAGGGAAUAUAAGGUUUUCAUGAUGCUGAUCUUGAGCUGCCAUCCAAGCACGAAUACCUUCAUUUAAUAUAAUCUUUUUGGUGUAGAAAGUCUCAAAUUCAGGAUCUUCUGCUACACAAAUUUCUUGAGAAACAAAGUUACGGGCACAUAGGUUUAGGGCCAGACCGACUACUCCAAGAGNNCUCAUCCAUAAACCUGUUACUAGUACAAAUAACAUAAAGAAAUGUAAUCAACAUUUAUUAGAAAAAGCAACCCCAAAGAUUUGGGACCAAAAGUGGUUAGCGUAAAAUUUAAUAAGUUUCUUCAGCUUAAGUUAGGUUAAAAACAUGAAAUGUAUUUGCACCAUCACCAUCUUCAAAUAAAGUCUUUUCUAUGGUAGUACCAUGAAUAGCACAUAGCAAAGCAGCACACAAUAUACUGGCAACUCCCAUCAUAUAUAAUGGGUUUAGCGUCCAAUUAUGAAAUCCUUGAAAAAAGAGGAUGAAUCAAAAUAUAGCUGCUAUACCAAAAUUAGGUGCAAGGAACCAACCAGACUGACCUGGUGGAUAAAUCAGGAAUACAAAAAUAAAAAUAGCAAUUGGACUAGAGGAUGCGAUUGCAUUAUAAGGUCACAACUGAACAGAUCGAGCAAGCUCAAAUUGAUGUAAUAUGAAACCUAUUAGUCCGAAAGCGCCAAGGAGGGCAACAAAAGUCCACAAAUCGUCUAAUUGACACCAACGAAUAAAAUCUCCUUGUGCUUCAGAACCCCACAAUAAUAAUAAAGAAUGCGCUAAACUAUUAGUAGGAGUAGAAAUUAUAGCCGUUAAGAAAUUACAGCCUUCCAAAUAGGAAUUGGCCAAUCCAUGGGUAUACCAUGAAGUUACAAAGGUUGUACCUGUGAACCAACCCCCUACAGCGAAAUAGGCACAAGGAAAGAGCAAUAGACCGGACCAGCCUACAAAAACGAAACGGUCCCUCCGUAACCAGUCAUCCAUAAUAUCAAAUAAAUCAUUUUCGUCUUUGGUAAAUUUACCAAGGGUUAUAGUUAUAGUGAUCCUCCUAUUCAACUACUUUGACCAUUUUCGAGCACCUCAUAGUAUUUUCGCGACGUCUGAAGAUUCGAUCAUUUCUCUAUGAUUUCUCUUGCACUGCCCCUUCCAAUGGGUUUCAAAGAUCAAAAUCCUUUAUUGGCCUAUAAACUAACCUAGGGAAAUCCAUGAACUCAAUUUGAUUAUUCUUUAUUACUAAGCAUAUGAACCAUGAAUUGUCUUCUUAUGAUUUAUCAAUCAGAUAGAUGAAUCCUUUGAAAGAACUUUUCAAGGAACAAGCGAUCCCCUCUCUCACUACUAACUGAUCCUCCGACCUACCCCCCUCUUGUUCGAUUAACUAAUGUUAUUCUUAGAUCUUGUUCGUGAGAUUUUUCAAAAUAAAGAGAUUUAUAGAUUAUUCUAAUUUCUAUGUAUACUAAACUAUUACAAUUACAUUAUUUUAUUAAUUUCUUUUUUCAUUUUCUUUGAGUGUCUUCUUUGUUAUAUCUCCUUUU